UUGAAUAAACUUGAACAGGCUGUUGCUGGCUCCCUCAUGGGGGGGUAUGUGCACGCUUGUCAUCUUUAUUUCUCCACUUGUGCACAUAUUGUAGACCCUGGAAUUGAAUUUGAUCAUUGUUCGAGUUGGGAACUGCUGUGCUUUUCUUUUAAACAGACACCAUUUUUUAAAUGCAUGUGUAGAAUGUGUUACUAUUUGCGAUCACACGCAAUCAAUA
Molecule: unclassified non-coding RNA, 217 nt
Filed under: uncultured Inocybe
Lineage: Eukaryota; Fungi; Basidiomycota; Agaricomycetes; Agaricales; Cortinariaceae
Description: sequence contains ITS1
Source: RNAcentral